RNAcentral lists this ribosomal RNA (253 nucleotides) under uncultured bacterium. RNAcentral describes it as "partial 16S ribosomal RNA". It matches the Rfam family "Bacterial small subunit ribosomal RNA", at positions 524 to 776 of the family's 1533-position model. The record is from RNAcentral.
UACGUAGGUGGCAAGCGAUACUCGGAAUCACUAGGCGUAAAGCGCAGGUAGGCGGUUUGGUAAGUCUUUUGUGAAAGCUCCCGGCUUAACUGGGAGAGGUCAAGGGAAACUACCGGACUAGAGUGUGGUAGGGGAUACUGGAAUUCCUGGUGUAGCGGUGAAAUGCGUAGAUAUCAGGAGGAAUACCUAUGGCGAAAGCAGGUAUCUGGGCCAUCACUGACGCUGAGGAGCGAAAGCAUGGGGAGCGAACAGG